UACGGGGGGAGCAAGCGUUGUCCGGAAUUAUUGGGCGUAAAGGGCUCGUAGGCGGUUUGUCGCGUCGGGAGUGAAAACCUUGGGCUUAACUCAGGGCUUGCUUUCGAUACGGGCAGACUAGAGGUAUGCAGGGGAGAACGGAAUUCCUGGUGUAGCGGUGAAAUGCGCAGAUAUCAGGAGGAACACCGGUGGCGAAGGCGGUUCUCUGGGCAUGAUCUGACGCUGAGGAGCGAAAGUGUGGGGAGCGAACAGG
This 253-nucleotide ribosomal RNA is filed under the name uncultured bacterium. Its description in RNAcentral is "partial 16S ribosomal RNA". It matches the Rfam family "Bacterial small subunit ribosomal RNA", at positions 524 to 776 of the family's 1533-position model. The record is from RNAcentral.